CAGUCGCCACGGGAAUACGUAGGUGGCAAGCGUUGUCCGGAAUUAUUGGGCGUAAAGGGCUCGCAGGCGGUUUCUUAAGUCUGAUGUGAAAGCCCCCGGCUCAACCGGGGAGGGUCAUUGGAAACUGGGAAACUUGAGUGCAGAAGAGGAGAGUGGAAUUCCACGUGUAGCGGUGAAAUGCGUAGAGAUGUGGAGGAACACCAGUGGCGAAGGCGACUCUCUGGUCUAUAACUGACGCUGAGGAGCGAAAGCGUGGGGAGCGAACAGGAUUAGAGACCCCGGUAGUCCCUGUCUCUUAUAC
RNAcentral lists this ribosomal RNA (301 nucleotides) under uncultured bacterium. RNAcentral's name for it is "partial 16S ribosomal RNA". It matches the Rfam family "Bacterial small subunit ribosomal RNA", at positions 509 to 807 of the family's 1533-position model. The record is from RNAcentral.